GAUUUUAGGGGUUAGUUUCACCCACCUCCGCUUCCUUCCCCUAAAAUGCGAAAAUCGUAACCCAACUUAAACCUAAGCUAACAAACCCUGCUAAGCGGCUAAACCUACCAUAAGAGCUGCAACCCUCUUCGUGUUCCAAAGCGUCGCCACAAUCGCCGCCUGACCACCAGCAUUUACCGCCACCACCCGUCUAAAGUGUCAUCAGCCAUUGUUUCAUCUCCCCUUCUUCGUCGCUUGGUCUUCCUAGAUUUGUUGGCGUCGCACCCUUGGUCAUCGUCGGCAAUGCAGUCUCCGUUGGUAUCACUCCAAGGUCACUCAUCCAACAACAAAAAUAUCCCAGUUCGCAUAAAAGGCUGAAAGAGAUAGGGUUUAUCCAAUCAAAACCUUUGAAGGAUUAGGAUUAAUCAAAUGCCUAGAAAACCCGGUACACCGUUAGUAGUGCAGCCGGAACUAUUGCUGCCCCUGAUAAUCAAACCCAAGCCACCUUGGAUGGAACGACAGAUACGGGAGCUAAUACUUCAAGUGCACAGCGACGUGCUAAAGCGCCUCCACUUCCGUAUUCCCGCAACAGUACUUGACAAUAUCGUGUUAAUGUUGUACUAUUUCGACCACCACACAAUAAAAGACAGUUGGCUCCAUCGAGUGACAUGGGUGACACUCGAGCUCCUGCAACACGCACAGAGCAUUGGGAUCGCGAUGAAGUUGCAGAUGUCUCUUCAGAAGAUGAAGAUUAUGACCCAGAGAAGGAUAAAGUCGAGUCGUUCGAUGACCAUGUCGACGACUUGUUUGCCGCACAUGAAGUUGAACAUCAAGGCAACGCCAUCAGAAAAUGGCGUGACAAAAAAGAUGGAUCUGACGGUUAAGGAGGCAUUAGCACUUCCUCCUGAAAGGAAGAUCUACUCCAACAUAACAAAGAGUUGCAACAAGUUGGUCAGGCAGCUGGCCUAUUAAGCGGGUUCUUUUGGAGUUUGGAAGAUGAUUUCAAUAGUUACGAAUUUGUGAAGAAAGUUGGAAGAUAAUGAACAAGGCCAUCAAAGAGCACGUGUUUGACCAGUUUAAGUGAGUCUUUCACUAUGAGGAUGAUGGAGGAGGAAGAAUAAAGCAGAGAAUCAUACAAAGAAUAGGAAGAAACUGGAAGAACACAAGAAAUAAUUUGUUUCAUAAGUUUUAUGAUAGCAAAAGGAUUUUUGAGCAAAAUGCCAACCAUAAACCAUCAGGAAUAGAUGGAAAUCACUAGAAGUGGUUUCUUGAAUAUUGAUUGAAGGAUUCGACAAAAGUACAAAUAUUCAAUUGAUUUUUCAUUCUAUUCAUGUUCAAACCCUCUGAAUUAUUGCUAAAUAUCCUGUAUUUGUUGUGAUAGUAGAAAAACUUCUACCCAAAAUACCUUUACCUUAUGCUUUUUUUCCGAAAUCGUACAUGGCUAUUUCCUAGACUUCUAACGUAUUAAUUUAUCCCGUUCACAUUUAUGUUCUUGGUUUUUUGUUUGUAUACUAAGAGAAGUGCAGAAAAAAUGCUAUAAACCGUUCAAAGCAAUGUUACACACAUACCGGAGGUUCUAAAACAUUGGCUAGAAAAAAAUACGAAAAAGAGCAACGAUAAGGAAGACCUAUUGGUAGAGGAGAGAUAUGGACUAUGUCUCAUAAAAAAAAGGAUGGCACGUAUAUAAAUGAAGAUGCGCGUGUUGUUGGUGAAGCAAUUGAGCAUAUUGAGGGCCAAGACGCAUCCAACAAAGAGCUUUCACAGAAUGAUUCCCUCGCACAAGUUCUUGGAAAGGAGCACCCAGGACGAGUUUGUGGACUGGGUUUCGGACCAUGUCCCACUCAGUGUUUUCGUAAUAUUCCACAGCAGUCAGACUCCGGUGUGCAAAUUGAGGAGUAUCAGAAGGAGAUUGCAGAACUUAAGGCAGAGGCAGCAGAGGAAAAAGCAAAGAGACAGACAAUGGAAAUUUUGUUAAGACACCUAAUCCAGCAACAAGGAGAUGAUUUGCCACCUGACGUAGCUGCGGAUCUGGAAGUUUUGGGAAGUGCACCGACCUUAUCUCGUGCAAGAUGAUAUUCUAGCACUAAUGAUCUGAAUGAAAAAUCGUGGAAUCAAGUCAACAGAAAUAGAAACACUUGAAUCUGAACAAUUUUUAAUUGUUCACUGUCUAAUGACUUUUGAGUUAUUUAUUUCUAGUUUACAGACAUUGAUGCACUGAAGACAAAUUUCUCUUAUAAUGAUUGACUUUUGGGUA
Non-coding RNA from Arachis ipaensis, 2233 nucleotides. The record is from RefSeq and is a predicted model, not a curated record. Lineage: Eukaryota; Viridiplantae; Streptophyta; Magnoliopsida; Fabales; Fabaceae.